Long non-coding RNA from Chlorocebus sabaeus (green monkey), 420 nucleotides. RefSeq lists it as uncharacterized. The record is from RefSeq and is a predicted model, not a curated record. Lineage: Eukaryota; Metazoa; Chordata; Mammalia; Primates; Cercopithecidae.
UCUAUAUUAUCCUCAAGUGGAUGGGUUCAGAAUUUAAGUCAACAUAUCAAAUAACGCAAAUCUUUUUAUUUGACAUCUUCAUGCAGAUUCUUACAGAAGGAUUGAGUUACUGUAACUGAAGACAUGAAAACUAACCAGCAGAAAGUGCUCUGAGGUUAUGUUUGGUUGGUAGUGAACCCAGAUGGCUCUGCGAGUCUCCAGCAGUUUGUAUGCUUAGGUGUGGCUAACUCCUCCAAGCCGUGGGCAAUGCGGUACCUCCAAUCUCUGGACAACAAUAGCAGAGAACUAUCUUAGGCCCUUAAAUAACUGCCAGGUCUUUCAUCAAUCUAAUUUAGAGGUUCCCAGCAAAUGAAUCUAAGCUUCACAUUUGCUGCAUUGCAGAAAUAGGACAAGUUUUAAGAAGCAUGUUAUCCUGAGUGG